Nyctereutes procyonoides (raccoon dog) is the source of this 6989-nucleotide long non-coding RNA. RefSeq lists it as uncharacterized. The transcript has 3 exons. The record is from RefSeq and is a predicted model, not a curated record. NCBI's taxonomy places the organism in Eukaryota, Metazoa, Chordata, Mammalia, Carnivora, Canidae.
GCCCAGGGAGCUAAGGUCUCAGCCCGCUCGCUGACAAAAACCCCAGAAAGCCUGUUAAUAGGCUGAGGAGGGAAGGAUAGAUGUCCUAGAACCGAGGGGUGGAGAUUCGGGAGGCUGUGCGCAGGUGCGCAGGUGCGCAGGCGCGAGGCGGCACCAGCCUCCCACGCCUCAUUAGCAUCUUAAGCCUCCACCCCAGGCCCCGACGGUGAGCGUUACAAUGAGGAAAAAAGUAGGUGAACGGUCGGCGCCAAGGUCCACCAGGGCACAAUCUGGUUUCGCCCGGUUUCUUCUGGCAGACAUCCUGCUUCAGCAUCCCUGGAGACGUGCUCACAAACGGGUAGCUCCGCCUUGUCUUCUGGGUGACCCGCUGGGAGCACCGGGCUUGGCGGUGAGGGCAGGGGUGGGGUACCAGACACAGCCCCUGUGCUUGCUAGCUCAAUUCCCCUGAGAGAUUUUACUCUCCUUAUUUCUGAGGAGGAGGGGCUGAAGGUCUCCUCUUCUGAAACUGCUUCCUGCGGAGCCGGGGCGUUGUCCCUGUCCUGCCUGGAGGAGUAAAAAUCUCGAUGACUGCUCUACUGAUCUAUAGGGUCCUUGUUCUUCUUGGGACUGGAUAGGUGGGUCCCUUGUGCCACCAUCAGUCUGACAGGAAACUGCUGUCUAGAAGACACAAACUUAACCAGAUUAAAGAGGCAAGGUCUGAAUAUUAACAAAAGAAUUAUUGGCACAAGCCAACCUAGGAAAGGAAGGUAUCCUGUGAUGUUAGGAGUCCUGAAGAGUUUAGGGAUUGUGAUUAUGGAACCCAUGCAACCAUCUGGUUUGUCUGUAAAUCUCCUGAAUAUUUAGUUCAACUUCUCCAGAGAUGCUGAUGUAUGUACAGCAGGUGUUGUUGACCACUGCACAGACACCCCCUUGUUCAGCCCGAAGAUAAUCUAGAGCUAACCGAUUGUCAAGUAUGUCAUUAGCCAAGGAAUCCAGGGACUCCUGGAGGCCCUCUAAGGCAUCACUAGCGUUUGAGGCCAGGUUUUCAAUGACCUGGGUAAGGUUUUUUAAGGUUGUUUCAUGAUAGGCAAACUCUCCCCAAGGGGCAGCCAAUCCCAUGGCUUCUUCAGUUGCUCCCAAGAUUAAUCUGAGUGCUCUCGUAUGUCUGGUUUGAGAAGUGACAUUAUAUAUAGUGGCGCCUAAUCCUUUAGGGCCCAAUCGUCCCAAAGUGCAUUCUCCCCGGAAGUGAACAUUAUCUAAACACGAAUAGGCCACUGCCUGAGGAGGCCAAGAGAAAGAGGAAUUGGGGCUCCCUUCAUAGGGUAGUUUAUUUUGUGGUGGACCGCAGAGAAACAGAUACCCAGGGGGAGCACAUGCUUGGUGGGGUGAAGAGGAAUUAAACCAGCUUCGUAAAUGGGGACCCCAAUUAGGUGCAGUUUUGCAUCUGGGCGACAGGGGCCCUCCAUCCAGUGGCCCCCCACCUAGUUCUGAGUCCUCUUCUAUUCCCUCCUGGCUAUCAAAAGCAGAUGGGGUUUGGUAGGUGAGCCUCCAGGAAGGGGUUGCUGUUCCUUUCCAGUAUGUACAGGAGAAGUUAGGUUGGUCGUCUGGAGAGAGUAGAGACGAGUCUACACACCAGUGGGUCUUGUUGGGGGUACAUGUAGAGCUUGCAGAGGAGAAUGACAUAGGAUAAAUGGAGGGCAAGCUGCCCACAUUGGUGAGGCAGGCGUUUGUCCGGCAGGGACAACAGGGCUGUCCCUGUUUUUUACAGAGAAGAGGCCGCUUAACCUGGAGACCAGUUUGAUUCCAAGAGUCUGUAAGCCUGACACAUGGCAUAGCAUCACGAUCAUCGAGUUCUACCACUAGAAGUGGUAUGCUCCUAACAGACCCAGAAGUCAAGGUGAGAGUAAUAUCCUCAUUUAUAGGUACAAACUGGAGCUUAGGAAUCCCAUCUUGUGGGCGUGGAUGACAGAUCCAACAAUUGGAGAGAUUAUUUCCAGAGGCCACGAUGCUAGAAAAAUUGACAAUUGAGUUUUCUCUCCAGGUUGCCCCCACUUUGCUAUUUUCUUCCCAACUCAUUCCCAGGAGAAGGGCCAAGAGGAGGGUCCACUUCAUCCAUCCCAUAAUGAUGGGAUUGGUUUUGAUCUUCUAGACCCCGUAAGGGCAGAAUGGGUCUUUCCCAGGGAGGGGAGGUGACCGGAAACAGUACUCACAGAGAAGGAAAAGUAAAACAAAGGCAACAAAAAGCAAAGUUGGCAAACCAAAGCACCAAGGUAUUAUCACUUAUCUGAUUAUGAGGGUCGCUUUUCAAAUAAGUACUUGAGAUCUUCAACAGGCUCACAUGAGUAAGAUGGUCCAGGCCUUUCAGGAAUUUCUGAGGCUGUCCAGGAGAAAAAGGUAUCAGCCUGGAAAGAUAUACGCAGCUAGGAAUUCCUCGCAGCUUAACUGCUAUUGGGGUGGCUAAAAUCACCCAAUAAAGGCCUUUUCACUUGGGUGGCAACUGAUCUUCCGGGGAGUCCUCCUUCCAGGGUUUUAAGGAGGAUCAGAUCCCCUGGAUUAACUGCAGUGGUGGUGGUUGGAGGGGUUCUCUUCUAAAUUGCCUCUAGGGGGGUGCUGGUGGUAUGUGAUUAGCAUAAUCCCUAAAGCUUUUUGCACCUAGCCCAAAUAAAAUGCUGCAAACUCUGGCUUAUUUUCCCAUCUAGUAAAAUACCAGAGUUGAGCAGGGGUCUCCCAUGUCAUUUCAAAUGGGUUGAGUCUUAGGUUAGUCUUAGGGGCAGUGGCAAUCCUGAGUAGUGCCAUAGGAAGCAAUUGGACCCAAGGUUCUUAAGUUUGUUGACAAAGUUUUGCUAAAGUCCCUUUCAGGGUAGGAUUCAUCUUUUCAUCCUUCUCUGAAGAAUGGAGGUGCCAGGGAGCAUACAAUUUAUAAUUUAUUCCCACAGCUGCCGAAAGGCUCUGGGUGAUUUUAGCUGUAAACAGAGGCUGUUAUCGCUUUGGAGAGACUUGAGAGCCCUAACCAGGGGAAUUCUCUUUUAGGAAGGAGUUCUUGACCUUGGUUGCCUUCCCAGACUAAGUGGGGAAGGCUUCUACCCAUUCAGUAAAAUUAUCAACAAACAUGAGGUGGUAUCUGUAGCCCACUCAUGGUGGAAGCUGGGUAAAGUCUACUCACUUGUCUUCUCCAGGAUAUGUUCCCCUGGUGUUGGACUGGUGUAAGAAGUGGGAAUCAAAUGGAUGGGUUUGAGAUGCAUAAAUUAUAGGCGAGGGUAACUUGUUUUACUUUAUUGUCUAAGUCCCUAUCCUGAAAAGACCCUUUGCACCAAGUCCCAAAGGAUGUCUCUUCCAUAAUGGGUGGCAUCAUGGAAAUGUUGGGCUUCUAGAAUGAGAAUUUUGUUCUCUCUCCUAAGCCACCCAGCUUUGUUCUGUAUAUCCCCAUGUCUCAGAUCUUCAUGUUCCAGCAGCAGGUAUUGAGGGCAGCUGGGAAACUGGUAAUAAUCUGAGCUGGCUCUUGUGCUCAGGUGGCCUAUUUAAACAGUUGAUUGGUCAGCCUUAAUACUUUCUUCAAUUACAGAGGUCUCAUCUUUCUGACAACUUUUACAAUAGACUCCAGCUACCUGAUUGAGAAGUUGCGCUAUCUCCAGGAGGGUGAAAAUUAGGGCUUUAUGUUUUAUUGAUAAAUUUGUAACUGUUAACAUUCCCCUUACUUUCCAGAAGAAAGACUUAUUAUUACGAAUCAGUAUAGAGACUUCAUCUUUUCCCUUCUCCCAACUGUAAGGCCCUAAUUUGGGCUAUCAGUUUAGUCUUUUGGGUGGGCAGAGCAUUGAGGUGGAAAAGCUCAAGCCUCUAUGACUCUACUUAGGCUCAUUAUGUAGCCUGGCUUCCAGAUGCCUCCUUCCGCAAAACUGCUCCUGUCCAUAACCGACACCAUAUUUGGAUGGUCAAGGGGUUUUUCUUGAAGGUCAGGUCUACUAGAAUAUGUCUGUUCCAUUGUCUCCACACACUGAUGCUGGGAACCUUCCUCUUCUACAGACGGGAGCAGGGGAGCAGGGUUUAGUUUGGCAUACGUUUAAAAUAACAUCUGGGGAAUCUAGCAAGAGGACCUGAUCCUUAGUUAACCUUUCUCUGGUCAGCCAGUGGUACUCUUUAAUUUCUAGUACUGUCUGAACCUGAUGGGUAGUCAGCAGUUGACCCAGGUCAGCUUAGGGGUCUCGCUCACUAAGAGAGCUGGGCUGCCACUGCUCACAAGCAGCUGGGCCAUGCCUGUGCAACUGGGUCUAGUUAUUUCGAAAAACAGGCUACCAGUCUCUGAUCAGGGUCCAGCUUUUAAGUCAGAACCCCCAAAGCAAUUCCCUGCCUCUCAGGGACAUCUAAGUAAAAGGCUUAUACAAACUUGGGCAGGGGCCCCACCCAAUCCAGUUUUCAAGGCUUUAAAAAGGCCCAGUGACAUCCGUGUUGUUGGGGUCCCUUUCUCCCCACUCAAGGCCUAUAAGGGGAGUUAGCAUCAGACCAUAAUUAGGGAACCAGAUGCAACUGAGCUCUGCCAUAACCUGAAAGCCACAGAGAGUUGCUUUCUGGUUUGGGAAACGGGCACAGUGCUGGUGGUCCUCUUGGGAUCCCCAGUCUGGUGUGAGGAUCAAGUCCAUAUAUUGGCCCUAUUGUUGUGAUAUGUGGGCUUUUGAUGGGGGAACCCUAUAUCCUCUCUUAACUAGAAAAUUUCAGGUUUUUAUAGUCUUAUGAUCUGAGGCCUGCUUAGCCAAAUUGGCUAUUAGCAAAUUCUCAACAUACUAUAAGAGGAUCCCAUCUCUCACUUUUAAUUCCCAUUUAACUGUCUUGCAUAGUACAUUUCCAAAUAGAUGGGGGCUGUCUCCAAAGCCCUAGGGAAGCACCGUCCAGGUGUACUAAGUAGCCCCUUAAGUACCAGGAGUUUUUCAUUCAAAGGCAAGUAAAUCUUGACCCUCCUCGUGAAGGAAUAUGCAGAAAAAGGCAUCCUUCAGGUCUGGCACAGUGGAAAACUGAGCAUCGCCUGGGACCUGGCUAAGCAGAUGAUUCAGGCUGGGUACUCUUUGGUGCAGGGGAACAAUUAUUUUAUUCACAGCCCUCAAAUCCAGUACAAAGAAUAUUCCCCACUGGGCUGCCUCACUGCGGGAUCUGGGGUAUCACAUGGGGAUUGACAAGGUUCAAUCAGCCCAUACUUGAGAAAUUGUGAAAUUAAUGACUGUGUUCCUCUUAAAGAUUUACUCUGUAUGGGAUCCUAUUAUUCCCAAGGACAGCCUGCUCUGGGUUUUAACUUUAUCUGAAUGGGGUAGACAUUUUUUGCCUCACCCAGGACAUGAGUGUCCCACACAGGUGGAGCUACUCGGUUUUGUGUUCUGAGCAAUAUUUGAGGGCUCAAAUCUGGGACCAUCCAGCAGUGCCUGUGGAUGAAUUUGGGUUUCUGUUCAAUUUUCAUCUUAGUACCAACCCUUUUCAAGGUAAAACAUGGCUCCAGAAUCAUUUAGCAGACCUCUCCCCACCAGUAGGGUCAUCAGAAAAGAAUGAGUAAUAACAUUUGAUCUGGCUUCACAAGCCAGGGGAAGAGUAAGCUGUCUUACCUUUGACUGUCCAUCUAUCCCAGUUACCGCACAGUCAUGGUUAGAGAGGGGCUGAUCAUCAACAGGGUGAGGCGGGACAGAGGAGGCGGCUCCAGUAUCCACAGGGAAUUUAGUUUUUCUAUCCACCAUGUCAAGGGUGACCCCAGGCUCCACUGGCAUGAUGGUGAUGGGCCUAGUGGGCGCUCAGGCCUCUUCUCUACAGUUGUGUGGCCCUGCUUCCAAGAGGCUGGCCAGGAGGAAGCCAGUCAGCUAGGGCAGCCAGCUGUCCCUUCCACUGACCUUUCUGUCUGCAGGAUGCACAUUUGUUCCAUCCAGGUGGCCUCUGCUCUGAUCAGAUGGCUCAGGCUAGAGUCUUCCAGGCCUCCUGGGAUCACCCUGAGGUGGCGGGCUGUACCAGGGCAGCCAAAUCUGCACCUUUUUGACUAACCUUUUGUCUUUAUUGGCCUCCUCUGCCCUGUCUCAAUUGUUCAAAACCUUGAAAGCCUCCUCCACCAAGGGUGACAGCAGGGUCUGAGAGCCUGACUCUAACUUUCAUAGAAUCCUAAUAUCCGAGGCAGAUGGGGUGAUAAAAUGCAUGGCCAAUAGAGACUUCCCCGCUGCUGACUCUGGUCUCCACUGGCAUAUUAUCAGAAGCUCUCUAUCACUGGUUUAUUUUUUUUUAAUUUAUUUAUUUAUGAUAGUCACACAGAGAGAGAGAGAGAGAGGCAGAGAGAGAAGCAGGCUCCAUGCACCGGGAGCCCGAUACGGGACUCGAUCCCGGGUCUCCAGGAUCGCGCCCUGAGCCAAAGGCAGGCGCCAAACCGCUGCGCCACCCAGGGAUCCCCACUAUCACUGGUUUAGAAAGACAGCUGGAUUCUCAUCCUCUUCCUGAGUCGUUUCCCUCACUUUGUCGUAAUUAACUGGUUUCACAAUGCACUUCAUCCCUUCAGAAAGGCAGGUAACAAAGUGCCUCAUCUGCACCUUGUCCGUUCUGCCCUCAUAAUCCCAUUGUGGGUCCUCGUCAGUGACAGCAUUUCCUUCUACCCAAAGCACUCUGUCCCCUGGGCUGGCAGGUAACAGACUGACAGCAUACUCACUAGCCUCCUAAAGAUCCUGUCUUUCUCAUCUAGGGUGCAACAGUAAGGACUAUGAUGACACCUUGUCAGGUGAGAAAGGAGGUUAGUUAAUUUAAUAAAUGCAUCUCUAAAUUUAGAGGGUUUUCUGGAAAAAUGACCAAACUUUUCUUUCCACAGCCCCAGGUCUGUGAGGGAGAAAGGAAUGGGAACUCUGGUCACUCCUCCCUCGGGGAUGGCACAAGAGUCCCUUAAUUUGGGGUCUUGGUAUUUCUCCCCACUUCUGAGAUCUUUUGCAAAACAAGUCCAAUUGCAAGAUUGUAUUAAAACUUAAUGAUCCAUUUUGGGGCCACAGUUCCUGGUCUCCUAAGUUAUG